GGUUAAGCGACUAAGCGUACACGGUGGAUGCCCUGGCAGUCAGAGGCGAUGAAGGACGUGCUAAUCUGCGAUAAGCGUCGGUAAGGUGAUAUGAACCGUUAUAACCGGCGAUUUCCGAAUGGGGAAACCCAGUGUGUUUCGACACACUAUCAUUAACUGAAUCCAUAGGUUAAUGAGGCGAACCGGGGGAACUGAAACAUCUAAGUACCCCGAGGAAAAGAAAUCAACCGAGAUUCCCCCAGUAGCG
RNAcentral lists this ribosomal RNA (247 nucleotides) under Escherichia coli. Its description in RNAcentral is "partial 23S ribosomal RNA". It matches the Rfam family "Bacterial large subunit ribosomal RNA", at positions 1 to 248 of the family's 2925-position model. Lineage: Bacteria; Pseudomonadati; Pseudomonadota; Gammaproteobacteria; Enterobacterales; Enterobacteriaceae. The record is from RNAcentral.